UGGGGGAUAUUGCACAAUGGAGGGAACUCUGAUGCAGCAAUGCCGCGUGAAGGAAGAAGGUUUUCGGAUUGUAAACUUCUAUCAGCAGGGAAGAAAAUGACGGUACCUGACUAAGAAGCCCCGGCUAACUAUGUGCCAGCAGCCGCGGUAAUACAUAGGGGGCAAGCGUUAUCCGGAAUGACUGGGUGUAAAGGGUGCGUAGGCGGUAAGGUAAGUCUGAUGUGAAAGACUGGGGCUCAACUCCAGGGGUGCAUUGGAAACUAUUUUACUAGAGUACAGGAGAGGAAAGCGGAAUUCCUAGUGUAGCGGUGAAAUGCGUAGAUAUUAGGAGGAACACCGGUGGCGAAGGCGGCUUUCUGGACUGAAACUGACGCUGAGGCACGAAAGCGUGGGGAGCAAACA
RNAcentral lists this ribosomal RNA (402 nucleotides) under uncultured Lachnospiraceae bacterium. RNAcentral describes it as "bacterial SSU rRNA". It matches the Rfam family "Bacterial small subunit ribosomal RNA", at positions 355 to 774 of the family's 1533-position model. Lineage: Bacteria; Bacillati; Bacillota; Clostridia; Lachnospirales; Lachnospiraceae. The record is from RNAcentral.